Molecule: ribosomal RNA, 377 nt
Filed under: Escherichia coli
Lineage: Bacteria; Pseudomonadati; Pseudomonadota; Gammaproteobacteria; Enterobacterales; Enterobacteriaceae
Description: partial 23S ribosomal RNA
Rfam family: Bacterial large subunit ribosomal RNA
Source: RNAcentral
ACAGACAGCCAGGAUGUUGGCUUAGAAGCAGCCAUCAUUUAAAGAAAGCGUAAUAGCUCACUGGUCGAGUCGGCCUGCGCGGAAGAUGUAACGGGGCUAAACCAUGCACCGAAGCUGCGGCAGCGACGCUAUGUGUUGUUGGGUAGGGGAGCGUUCUGUAAGCCGUUGAAGGUGGCCUGUGAGGGUUGCUGGAGGUAUCAGAAGUGCGAAUGCUGACAUAAGUAACGAUAAUGCGGGUGAAAAGCCCGCACGCCGGAAGACCAAGGGUUCCUGUCCAACGUUAAUCGGGGCAGGGUGAGUCGACCCCUAAGGCGAGGCCGAAAGGCGUAGUCGAUGGGAAACAGGUUAAUAUUCCUGUACUUGGUGUUACUGCGAAG